This is a long non-coding RNA of Culex quinquefasciatus (southern house mosquito), 561 nucleotides long. RefSeq lists it as uncharacterized. The transcript is spliced from 3 exons. NCBI's taxonomy places the organism in Eukaryota, Metazoa, Arthropoda, Insecta, Diptera, Culicidae. The record is from RefSeq and is a predicted model, not a curated record.
ACUAAUCGUCAAGGACCGCGCUCAACGUAAAAAGAGGUCGUUUGGUUGGUGGUGCAUGGAGUGUCACAAAUAGUGAACCUCCAAGUUGGCAAAGCGCGCCAACCCGAGAAUUCUGUAGAGCGCAAUGGCGGAGGCCAUCCGGUUUUUUUCUACCAAAGACAAAGACACAAAACCAAAGACACCAAAACCGUUGCUGCGCCAGGCCUGGCCGGAGGAAGAUCCUCCGACUUGACUCGACCACCGCGGGAUACACUAGAACACACGAACACACACACACAUGGUUAGGUUAGUUUUAAAACGACGAAAAACAAUGAAUUAGGACAGUUAAAUGCAAUAAACAUGACUUUUUCCAUAACCCAAAGCGACGAUCUUUUGUGAUUCUUUUUGCCAGGACAGUGCGAUUAGCUGAAUCGAACCAGGAUUGUGAAAGGGUAGGUACAAUUCUCCUUCCCCACGUCAAAUGUGAGCAGUUGCAGAUCUUUACAUCUCUCUCUCAUCUCCAAGAGUCUCAAGUUCUGGUUUUUAUUUAAUUUUUAAUUAAUGAACUAGUGGUGGUAAUUG